AGUUUGAUCCUGGCUCAGGAUGAACGCUGGCGGCGUGCCUAAUACAUGCAAGUCGAGCGGUAAGGCCCUUCGGGGUACACGAGCGGCGGACGGCUGAGUAACACGUAGGAACGUACCCCAAAGUGAGGGAUAAGCACCAGAAAUGGUGUCUAAUACCGCAUGUGCUCUAAGGAGUAAAGCUCCGGCGCUUUGGGAACGGCCUGCGCAUGAUUAGCUAGAUGGUGAGGUAAUGGCUCACCAUGGCGACGAUCAUUAGCUGGUCUGAGAGGAUGAUCAGCCAGACUGGGACUGAGACACGGCCCAGACUCCUACGGGAGGCAGCAGUAGGGAAUUUUCCACAAUGGGCGAAAGCCUGAUGGAGCAACGCCGCGUGCAGGAUGAAUGCCUUCGGGUUGUAAACUGCUUUUAUAUGUGACGAAUAUGACGGUAGCAUAUGAAUAAGGAUCGGCUAACUCCGUGCCAGCAGCCGCGGUCAUACGGAGGAUCCAAGCGUUAUCCGGAAUUACUGGGCGUAAAGAGUUGCGUAGGCGGCAUAGUAAGCAGAUAGUGAAAGCGUGUGGCUCAACCAUACUCACAUUAUCUGAACUGCUAAGCUAGAGGACGAGAGAGGUCACUGGAAUUCCUAGUGUAGGAGUGAAAUCCGUAGAUAUUAGGAGGAACACCAAUGGCGUAGCAGGUGACUGGCUCGUUCCUGACGCUCAGGCGCGAAAGCGUGGGUAGCAAACAGGAUUAGAUA
Molecule: ribosomal RNA, 736 nt
Filed under: uncultured bacterium
Lineage: Bacteria
Description: bacterial SSU rRNA
Rfam family: Bacterial small subunit ribosomal RNA
Source: RNAcentral